AGUGAACGCUGGCGGUAGGCCUAACACAUGCAAGUCGAACGGCAGCACAGUAAUAGCGUGCUCUUACGGGUGGCGAGUGGCGGACGGGUGAGGAAUGCAUCGGAAUCUACUUUUUCGGGUGGAUUAAGGAAGGUAAGGUUCAUUAAGGCCAGGAACGACCGAUGGGUGAAAGGGGUGGGAAUGUUGAGCCGGCGGGGGUGGAUCAGGCGGCGUCGGAGUUGCUUGGUGGGGGGGUAAAGUCCCAACAAGUUGACGAGUCGUAGGUGGGCUCAGAGGAUGAUCAGCCACACUGGAACUGAAACACGGUCCAGACUCCUAAGGGAGGCCGCAGUGGGGAAUAUUGGACAAUGGGCGCAAGCCUGACACAGCCAUACCGAGUCGGUGAAGACGGCCUUCGGGUUGUAAAGCCCUUUUGUUGGGAAAGAACAGCAGCCGGCUAAUACGAAGCUGUUCUGACGGUAACCAAAGAAUAAGCACCGGCUAACUUCGUG
RNAcentral lists this ribosomal RNA (491 nucleotides) under uncultured bacterium. Its description in RNAcentral is "partial 16S ribosomal RNA". It matches the Rfam family "Bacterial small subunit ribosomal RNA", at positions 30 to 507 of the family's 1533-position model. The record is from RNAcentral.